This is a non-coding RNA of Onthophagus taurus, 736 nucleotides long. NCBI's taxonomy places the organism in Eukaryota, Metazoa, Arthropoda, Insecta, Coleoptera, Scarabaeidae. The record is from RefSeq and is a predicted model, not a curated record.
GUAGUUGAAGAAUACGAAGACACCAAGACGCAUGACUUUUUACCUGUACAUUAAUAAUGUUUUUUAAAGUUAUUGUUAAUUUUAUUUAUUAAUUUUUUUUGUGAGUUUAAGUUUUUUUUGUGCAAGUUAAAGUGAAGUUACUUUUUUUUGGAUAUUUUUGGAAAUACAAAAGGACUGCUUUAUUAUUUCAUAAUCAUAUUAAAGGUUUCAAUUAAACCAAGAAUGAGAAAAUGAGAGACAUAGAACGGGACAUUUGGGGAGUUGAAACCGGAACUUUCUUCAAUUACGCGGAAAGUGAAAGGUUUCCUAGCGUUCACAGUGUAUCUAUACAACGAUUAGAUGCAUUAUUAUACACUCAAGCAGGUAGAAAAUUUCAUGAUUCCAACUUUAUUAAGUAUUCGGUGAGUAAAUUUUGAAUUGAUUUUAUUUAGAUUUUAAUCGAGAUUUUUAUAUGUUCCUGUCAAAACCUAUUUUAAGGUGUUGUGUAACCAAUUCACGCAAACGCAAUAAAUUUCCUGUAAUUUAACAGAACGUAGUUCAGCUCCCUGUAAUUUUAUAGGUCGAUAAACGUUAAAGUUUCGGCUGUGUUAAUUAGGUGUUCCGUACGAAUUACCUUCUCUAUACACUUAAAACUAAGUAAACUAACUAAAACUUAAGAUCUAUUAAGAACUUAACCUGAACUAGUACUUUAAAGGUAAUAAAUAAUCUAUGUUUUUCACAAGAAAAUAUGAACGCG